Molecule: transfer RNA, 73 nt
Filed under: Candidatus Hinthialibacteria bacterium OLB16
Lineage: Bacteria; Candidatus Hinthialibacterota
Also listed under: 4 other names
Description: Omnitrophica bacterium OLB16 tRNA-Lys
Rfam family: tRNA
About the family: Transfer RNA (tRNA) molecules are approximately 80 nucleotides in length.
Source: RNAcentral
GGGUCACUAGCUCAAGUGGUAGAGCAGCGGACUCUUAAUCCGUUGGUUCAGGGUUCGAGUCCCUGGUGGCCCA